RNAcentral lists this ribosomal RNA (548 nucleotides) under Cellulosimicrobium sp. RNAcentral's name for it is "bacterial SSU rRNA". It matches the Rfam family "Bacterial small subunit ribosomal RNA", at positions 60 to 623 of the family's 1533-position model. Lineage: Bacteria; Bacillati; Actinomycetota; Actinomycetes; Micrococcales; Promicromonosporaceae. The record is from RNAcentral.
AGUCGACGAUGAAGCCCAGCUUGCUGGGUGGAUUAGUGGCGAACGGGUGAGUAACACGUGAGUAACCUGCCCUUGACUUCGGGAUAACUCCGGGAAACCGGGGCUAAUACCGGAUAUGAGCCGCCUUCGCAUGGGGGUGGUUGGAAAGUUUUUCGGUCAGGGAUGGGCUCGCGGCCUAUCAGCUUGUUGGUGGGGUGAUGGCCUACCAAGGCGACGACGGGUAGCCGGCCUGAGAGGGCGACCGGCCACACUGGGACUGAGACACGGCCCAGACUCCUACGGGAGGCAGCAGUGGGGAAUAUUGCACAAUGGGCGCAAGCCUGAUGCAGCGACGCCGCGUGAGGGAUGAAGGCCUUCGGGUUGUAAACCUCUUUCAGCAGGGAAGAAGCGCAAGUGACGGUACCUGCAGAAGAAGCGCCGGCUAACUACGUGCCAGCAGCCGCGGUAAUACGUAGGGCGCAAGCGUUGUCCGGAAUUAUUGGGCGUAAAGAGCUCGUAGGCGGUUUGUCGCGUCUGGUGUGAAAACUCGAGGCUCAACCUCGAGCUUG